Molecule: non-coding RNA, 96 nt
Organism: Pelobates cultripes (western spadefoot toad)
Lineage: Eukaryota; Metazoa; Chordata; Amphibia; Anura; Pelobatidae
Source: the annotation of a GenBank genome assembly
AGGACAAUGUGGGAAAGACCUCUCCUCCAGGAGAGCAUAACAGGCCCGGUUAUGCUCUCCUGGAGGAGAGGUCUUUCCCACAGAAAAGCUAGUGAU